GAUGAACGCUGGCGGCGUGCCUAAUACAUGCAAGUCGAGCGAACAGACGAGGAGCUUGCUCCUCUGACGUUAGCGGCGGACGGGUGAGUAACACGUGGAUAACCUACCUAUAAGACUGGGAUAACUUCGGGAAACCGGAGCUAAUACCGGAUAAUAUAUUGAACCGCAUGGUUCAAUAGUGAAAGACGGUUUUGCUGUCACUUAUAGAUGGAUCCGCGCCGCAUUAGCUAGUUGGUAAGGUAACGGCUUACCAAGGCAACGAUGCGUAGCCGACCUGAGAGGGUGAUCGGCCCCAGUGGAACUGAGCCCCGGUCCAGACUCCUACGGAGGGCAGCAGUAGGGAAUCUUCCGAAAUGGGCGAAAGCCUGACGGAGCAACGCCGCGUGGGUGAUGAAGGUCUUCGGAUCGUAAAACUCUGUUAUAGGGAAGAACAAAUGUGUAAGUAACUAUGCACGUCUUGACGGUACCUAAUCAGAAAGCCACGGCUAACUACGUG
RNAcentral lists this ribosomal RNA (496 nucleotides) under uncultured bacterium. RNAcentral's name for it is "partial 16S ribosomal RNA". It matches the Rfam family "Bacterial small subunit ribosomal RNA", at positions 28 to 507 of the family's 1533-position model. The record is from RNAcentral.